Molecule: long non-coding RNA, 562 nt
Filed under: Androctonus crassicauda
Lineage: Eukaryota; Metazoa; Arthropoda; Arachnida; Scorpiones; Buthidae
Source: RNAcentral
AGAUGCUAUCUGAAGAACAGAAAGGAAGAUAUCAUCAGAAGGCAAUGAAAAAUUGCAAACACCAAUCUGUUGCUCUUUACCAUCAUCUAAAGUGUAACAGCUAGAUGUAUUUAAAUCCUAGGCAAGUGACCCAACAAUCAUCAAAAUCACUAUUAAAUAGUGAUGGUGGAUCAUUGAUAUUUUCAAUUGGAUUGAUUGAAUGUCCAAGAACUGAUAUUGCUACAGAUGUGGGAGUACUUGUUAGUAUUGGAGGAGAUCCACUUCCAGUCAAAUUUGCAGCCCGGCAGAUGCUGUCCACUUCUUUCUUUUCUAACAUCCUUCAAAUAAUUUAUUAUAUUCAUAGAUCUAUAUAAGUGCAAAUAUUAUUUUAUUUUUUAAAAAUUAAUUUUUGACGGAUAUAUGAAACUAUUAAUACAAAUGUUUCAUUAAAAGCAAUACAAAAAGCUUUUAAGGUACAAUUUUAUAUUAAUUAAAAUAGCAUUGAUCGAAGGAUAACGAUGAGCAGAGAAGGUUUUCCAAGGGAACUGCACUUCUGUCUGGUGCGGGGUUUGAGGAAAUUAAC